This 760-nucleotide ribosomal RNA is filed under the name uncultured cyanobacterium. RNAcentral's name for it is "bacterial SSU rRNA". It matches the Rfam family "Bacterial small subunit ribosomal RNA", at positions 35 to 836 of the family's 1533-position model. Lineage: Bacteria; Bacillati; Cyanobacteriota. The record is from RNAcentral.
GCUGGCGAGAUGCUUUACACAUGCAAGUCGUACGAGAGUUUCAAACUCAAGUGGCGGACGGGUGAGUAACACGUAAGAAUUUGCCUUUAGGAGGGGGACAACAACUGGAAACGGUUGCUAAUACCCCAUAUGCUUUCGAGUGAAACGGAUUUUUCCGCCUAAAGAGAAGCUUGCGGCUGAUUAGCUUGUUGGUGAGGUAAUGGCUCACCAAGGCGACGAUCAGUAUCUGGUUUGAGAGGACGAUCAGACACACUGGAACUGAGACACGGUCCAGACUCCUACGGGAGGCAGCAGUGGGGAAUUUUCCGCAAUGGGCGAAAGCCUGACGGAGCAAUCUCGCGUGAGGGAUGACUGCCUAUGGGUUGUAAACCUCUUUUUUCAGGGAGGAAUCAAUGACGUGUACCUGAAGAAUAAGCAUCGGCUAACUCCGUGCCAGCAGCCGCGGUAAGACGGAGGAUGCAAGUGUUAUCCGGAAUCACUGGGCGUAAAGCGUCUGUAGGUGGUUUGAUAAGUCAACUGUUAAAUCUUGAAGCUCAACUUCAAAAUCGCAGUCGAAACUAUCAGACUAGAGUAUAGUAGGGGUAAAGGGAAUUUCCAGUGGAGCGGUGAAAUGCGUAGAGAUUGGAAAGAACACCGAUGGCGAAGGCACUUUACUGGGCUAUUACUGACACUCAGAGACGAAAGCUAGGGUAGCAAAUGGGAUUAGAUACCCCCGUAUCCUAGCUGUAAACAAUGGAAACUAGAUGUUGAACAGAUCGAC